UACUGGCAAGCUUGAGUCUCGUAGAGGGGGGUAGAAUUCCAGGUGUAGCGGUGAAAUGCGUAGAGAUCUGGAGGAAUACCGGUGGCGAAGGCGGCCCCCUGGACGAGACUGACGCUCAGGUGCGAAAGCGUGGGGAGCAAACAGGAUUAGAUACCCUGGUAGUCCACGCCGUAAACGAUGUCGACUUGGAGGUUGUGCCCUUGAGGCGUGGCUUCCGGAGCUAACGCGUUAAGUCGACCGCCUGGGGAGUACGGCCGCAAGGUUAAAACUCAAAUGAAUUGACGGGGGCCCGCACAAGCGGUGGAGCAUGUGGUUUAAUUCGAUGCAACGCGAAGAACCUUACCUGGUCUUGACAUCCACGGAAGUUUUCAGAGAUGAGAAUGUGCCUUCGGGAACCGUGAGACAGGUGCUGCAUGGCUGUCGUCAGCUCGUGUUGUGAAAUGUUGGGUUAAGUCCCGCAACGAGCGCAACCCUUAUCCUUUGUUGCCAGCGGUCCGGCCGGGAACUCAAAGGAGACUGCCAGUGAUAAACUGGAGGAAGGUGGGGAUGACGUCAAGCCAUCAUGGCCCUUACGACCAGGGCUACACACGUGCUACAAUGGCGCAUACAAAGAGAAGCGACCUCGCGAGAGCAAGCGGACCUCAUAAAGUGCGUCGUAGUCCGGAUUGGAGUCUGCAACUCGACUCCAUGAAGUCGGAAUCGCUAGUAAUCGUGGAUCAGAAUGCCACGGUGAAUACGUUCCCGGGCCUUGUACACACCGCCCGUCACACCAUGGGAGUGGGUUGCAAAAGAAGUAGGUAGCUUAACCUUCGGGAGGGCGCUUACCACUUUGUGAUUCAUGACUGGGGUGAAGUCGUAACAAGGUAACCA
Molecule: ribosomal RNA, 870 nt
Filed under: uncultured Shigella sp.
Lineage: Bacteria; Pseudomonadati; Pseudomonadota; Gammaproteobacteria; Enterobacterales; Enterobacteriaceae
Description: bacterial SSU rRNA
Rfam family: Bacterial small subunit ribosomal RNA
Source: RNAcentral